This 426-nucleotide ribosomal RNA is filed under the name Deutereulophus sp. RDB-1999. RNAcentral describes it as "eukaryotic LSU rRNA". The record is from RNAcentral. Lineage: Eukaryota; Metazoa; Arthropoda; Insecta; Hymenoptera; Eulophidae.
CCUGAGAAACCCAAAAGAUCGAAUGGGGAGAUUCAUCGUCAGCGGCUCUGGCUUCCGUGCGGUACGCGAUGACAGGGGAUUUCGGUCUCCCGUCACGCUACCGCUGCGGUAUGCCCGGAGUCGUCGGCGUGCACUUCUCCCCUAGUAGGACGUCGCGACCCGUUGGGUGUCGGAUCGAUGGCCGGUCGGUCGUCUGUUGCGCUCGCGCUUCAGACCGACUCGGUCGAAAGUCCGGCUGCCCGGCGGUAUUGAACGAUAUGACACGGUAUCGGGCCGCACUCGAAUGCGUUCAGGCCCGUCGGCAGGCUCGUCUCGCUCGGAUUUACGGACCUAGUGCCGUUGCCGGGCGCUUGGCGUGGCUGUUAGUCGACGGUGUCCUCGGACCGGCUCUUACCCGUCGGCGACGCUACUGCUUUGGGUACUUUC